This 272-nucleotide ribosomal RNA is filed under the name uncultured Solobacterium sp. Its description in RNAcentral is "partial 16S ribosomal RNA". It matches the Rfam family "Bacterial small subunit ribosomal RNA", at positions 87 to 355 of the family's 1533-position model. The record is from RNAcentral. Lineage: Bacteria; Bacillati; Bacillota; Erysipelotrichia; Erysipelotrichales; Erysipelotrichaceae.
UCGAAGGAGUGGCGAACGGGUGAGUAAUACAUAAGCAACCUACCCACGAAGACUGGGAUAAUCUCUGGAAACGGGGACUAAUACCGGAUAGGUAAUCGGAAGGCAUCUUCUGGUUAUUAAAGGUUAAAAACACUGGUGGAUGGGCUUAUGGCGCAUUAGUUAGUUGGUGAGGUAACGGCCCACCAAGACGAUGAUGCGUAGCCGGCCUGAGAGGGUGAACGGCCACAUUGGGACUGAUACACGGCCCCAGACUCCUACGGGAGGCAGCAGUC